This 253-nucleotide ribosomal RNA is filed under the name uncultured bacterium. Its description in RNAcentral is "partial 16S ribosomal RNA". It matches the Rfam family "Bacterial small subunit ribosomal RNA", at positions 524 to 776 of the family's 1533-position model. The record is from RNAcentral.
UACGAAGGGGGCUAGCGUUGCUCGGAAUCACUGGGCGUAAAGGGCGCGUAGGCGACCAUUCAAGUCGGAGGUGAAAGCCCAGGGCUCAACCCUGGAAUUGCCUUCGAUACUGUUUGGCUAGAGACCGGAAGAGGUAAGUGGAACUGCGAGUGUAGAGGUGAAAUUCGUAGAUAUUCGCAAGAACACCAGUGGCGAAGGCGGCUUACUGGUCCGGUUCUGACGCUGAGGCGCGAAAGCGUGGGGAGCAAACAGG